Ictidomys tridecemlineatus (thirteen-lined ground squirrel) is the source of this 72-nucleotide non-coding RNA. Lineage: Eukaryota; Metazoa; Chordata; Mammalia; Rodentia; Sciuridae. The record is from Rfam.
AGGGGUGUAGCUCAGGGACAGAGUGCUUGUCUAGCAUGCAUGAAAACCUAAGUUCAAUCCCUAGCACUGUGA